This is a long non-coding RNA of Apis dorsata (giant honeybee), 877 nucleotides long. RefSeq lists it as uncharacterized. The record is from RefSeq and is a predicted model, not a curated record. NCBI's taxonomy places the organism in Eukaryota, Metazoa, Arthropoda, Insecta, Hymenoptera, Apidae. The transcript has 2 exons.
GCUUAGACAUUUUGACAGAAUAAUAUUCUCGCAUGCAAUGCUGCUAAAAAUAUCCUUCCUACGAUAAUCCUGACUAAUAAUAACCUUCCCCCCCCCCCCACAAAAACACAAAUAAUUUCUCCGAAAUCCAAUUCCAAAUCUCACGCUUCCAAAUUGCUCCAUGACUCACAUCUCCAAGAACCACCCCAAAUCCACCCCGAUCCGAUCGAUUCGACCAAACACAUCCAACCCCCCUCCUCCCCCAACAAGAAAAGAACCCAUUAAUUAUUCUCCUCCAAAGUUGUUGGAACACAUCUUCCCUCCCCUCCCCAAAUAAGAAAACUCUCGAGGAGGAGAAAAACAUCAAGGCAAGGGGUGGCGAUUCUUCUUUCCAACCCACUUGAAAUUAAAAGGUAAACGGAACGCGAAGGAUUAAAACGCGGGCAGAAUCCACCCCCUUCGAUCGAUCCAUCCCCUUCCCACCGCCGCCACCACCGCCCUCCUCUCGCCGCCACCACCACCACCACGAUUCGCAACAACUUAUUACAGAUCCACGUGAGAACCGAGCCUGUGAUCGGGACAAGGGCUCGAGAGGCAACGAACAACGACAGAGUUGGUCUGUCGAGGCGAGGCUGGUCGCUGGAUGGGUCGUUCAUCCCUCAAGAUUUCGAGAAAAUUCCCAAGUGGAGAGGAAGCAUUGAUUAAACGCUGGCCGUUGGGGGUUGGAUGGUCGAGGGACGGAGGGACGAUGGUUUAAGGGCGAGUGCGAGGGUUCUUCGCGUGAAUUUCGAUGUAAGGAGGUAAAGUUUGGAGAGAUUUUCGGUUAAGAAGUCGGGGCUAAGAAUUUUGGAAAAAUUUGGAAAGAUCUUUUUUUUUUAUAUAUAUAUAUGUAUUUUAA